This 495-nucleotide ribosomal RNA is filed under the name uncultured bacterium. RNAcentral describes it as "bacterial SSU rRNA". It matches the Rfam family "Bacterial small subunit ribosomal RNA", at positions 8 to 526 of the family's 1533-position model. The record is from RNAcentral.
AGAGUUUGAUCAUGGCUCAGGAUGAACGCUGGCGGCGUGCCUAAUACAUGCAAGUCGAACGGGGAGUAGUAAUACUUCUAGUGGCGAACGGGUGAGUAACGCGUGGGUGACCUGCCCCGAAGAGUGGGAUAACAGUUCGAAAGGACUGCUAAUACCGCAUGAGGUUCCCGGGUUUAGAAACCGGGAACGAAAGCAGCAAUGCGCUUCGGGAGGGGCCUGCGUCCCAUCAGCUAGUUGGUAAGGUAACGGCCUACCAAGGCGACGACGGGUAGGGGGCCUGAGAGGGUGAUCCCCCACACUGGCACUGAAACACGGGCCAGACACCUACGGGUGGCAGCAGUAGGGAAUAUUGCACAAUGGGCGCAAGCCUGAUGCAGCAACGCCGCGUGCGCGAUGAAGGCCUUCGGGUCGUAAAGCGCUUUUCUGGGAGACGAGGAAGGACGGUAUCCCAGGAAGAAGGCUCGGCUAACUACGUGCCAGCAGCCGCGGUAAUAC